RNAcentral lists this ribosomal RNA (541 nucleotides) under uncultured bacterium. RNAcentral's name for it is "bacterial SSU rRNA". It matches the Rfam family "Bacterial small subunit ribosomal RNA", at positions 8 to 521 of the family's 1533-position model. The record is from RNAcentral.
AGAGUUUGAUCCUGGCUCAGGACGAACGCUGGCGGCGUGCUUAACACAUGCAAGUCGAACGAGAAGACAUGAGAAGCUUGCUUCUUAUCGAUUCGAGUGGCAAACGGGUGAGUAACGCGUAAGCAACCCGCCCUUCAGAUGGGGACAACAGCUGGAAACGGCUGCUAAUACCGAAUACGUUCUUUCCGCCGCAUGACGGGAAGAAGAAAGGGAGGCCUUCGGGCUUUCGCUGGAGGAGGGGCUUGCGUCUGAUUAGCUAGUUGGAGGGGUAACGGCCCACCAAGGCGACGAUCAGUAGCCGGUCUGAGAGGAUGAACGGCCACAUUGGGACUGAGACACGGCCCAGACUCCUACGGGAGGCAGCAGUGGGGAAUCUUCCGCAAUGGACGAAAGUCUGACGGAGCAACGCCGCGUGAACGAUGACGGCCUUCGGGUUGUAAAGUUCUGUUAUAUGGGACGAACAGGGCAUCGGUUAAUACCCGGUGUCUUUGACGGUACCGUAAGAGAAAGCCACGGCUAACUACGUGCCAGCAGCCGCGGU